GUAGGUGGCAAGCGUUGUCCGGGAAUUAUUGGGGCGUAAAGCGCGCGCAGGCGGUCCUUUAAGUCUGAUGUGAAAGCCCACGGGCUCAACCGUGGAGGGUCAUUGGAAACUGGAGAACUUGAGUACAGAAGAGGAAAGCGGAAUUCCACGUGUAGCGGUGAAAUGCGUAGAGAUGUGGAGGAACACCAGUGGCGAAGGCGGCUUUCUGGUCUGUAACUGACGCUGAGGCGCGAAAGCGUGGGGAGCAAACAGGAUUAGAUACCCUGGUAGUCCACGCCGUAAACGAUGAGUGCUAAGUGUUAGGGGGUUUCCGCCCCUUAGUGCUGCAGCUAACGCAUUAAGCACUCCGCCUGGGGAGUACGGCCGCAAAGGCUG
This 375-nucleotide ribosomal RNA is filed under the name uncultured organism. Its description in RNAcentral is "partial 16S ribosomal RNA". It matches the Rfam family "Bacterial small subunit ribosomal RNA", at positions 527 to 896 of the family's 1533-position model. The record is from RNAcentral.